Molecule: ribosomal RNA, 994 nt
Filed under: uncultured Acinetobacter sp.
Lineage: Bacteria; Pseudomonadati; Pseudomonadota; Gammaproteobacteria; Moraxellales; Moraxellaceae
Description: bacterial SSU rRNA
Rfam family: Bacterial small subunit ribosomal RNA
Source: RNAcentral
CAGCAGCCGCGGUAAUACAGAGGGUGCGAGCGUUAAUCGGAUUUACUGGGCGUAAAGCGUGCGUAGGCGGCUGAUUAAGUCGGAUGUGAAAUCCCUGAGCUUAACUUAGGAAUUGCAUUCGAUACUGGUCAGCUAGAGUAUGGGAGAGGAUGGUAGAAUUCCAGGUGUAGCGGUGAAAUGCGUAGAGAUCUGGAGGAAUACCGAUGGCGAAGGCAGCCAUCUGGCCUAAUACUGACGCUGAGGUACGAAAGCAUGGGGAGCAAACAGGAUUAGAUACCCUGGUAGUCCAUGCCGUAAACGAUGUCUACUAGCCGUUGGGGCCUUUGAGGCUUUAGUGGCGCAGCUAACGCGAUAAGUAGACCGCCUGGGGAGUACGGUCGCAAGACUAAAACUCAAAUGAAUUGACGGGGGCCCGCACAAGCGGUGGAGCAUGUGGUUUAAUUCGAUGCAACGCGAAGAACCUUACCUGGCCUUGACAUAGUAGAAACUUUCCAGAGAUGGAUUGGUGCCUUCGGGAAUCUACAUACAGGUGCUGCAUGGCUGUCGUCAGCUCGUGUCGUGAGAUGUUGGGUUAAGUCCCGCAACGAGCGCAACCCUUUUCCUUACUUGCCAGCAUUUCGGAUGGGAACUUUAAGGAUACUGCCAGUGACAAACUGGAGGAAGGCGGGGACGACGUCAAGUCAUCAUGGCCCUUACGGCCAGGGCUACACACGUGCUACAAUGGUCGGUACAAAGGGUUGCUACCUAGCGAUAGGAUGCUAAUCUCAAAAAGCCGAUCGUAGUCCGGAUUGGAGUCUGCAACUCGACUCCAUGAAGUCGGAAUCGCUAGUAAUCGCGGAUCAGAAUGCCGCGGUGAAUACGUUCCCGGGCCUUGUACACACCGCCCGUCACACCAUGGGAGUUUGUUGCACCAGAAGUAGGUAGUCUAACCUUAGGGGGGACGCUUACCACGGUGUGGCCGAUGACUGGGGUGAAGUCGUAACAAGGUAGCCGU